RNAcentral lists this transfer RNA (72 nucleotides) under Sphaerodactylus townsendi. Its description in RNAcentral is "tRNA-Ala". It matches the Rfam family "tRNA". Rfam says of the family: Transfer RNA (tRNA) molecules are approximately 80 nucleotides in length. Lineage: Eukaryota; Metazoa; Chordata; Lepidosauria; Squamata; Sphaerodactylidae. The record is from RNAcentral.
GGGGGCGUGGCUCAGUGGAAGAGCCUCUUCUUGGCUUGUGGAAGCUCCCGGGUUCAAUCCUUGGUACCUCCA